AUGAAAUUAACUCAGUUCUGUGACGUACUCUGGAAUGGGAAAGAAGGGUUUGAGGUUAAACAUGUUAGUGGAAGAGGAAGGACCUACACUGGCAACUUAGAUAACAGGACAUGCUCCUGUGGGUACCUGCAGCUGGCAGGUCUACCUUGCUGCCAUGCUAUCAGUGCUAUUUAUAAGAGUGGCAGAAGAAUUGAAGACUUCAUUGACAAGUGCUAUUCAGUUGAGCAAUUCAAGAAAAUAUAUGAGCACUGCUUGGAGCCAGUUGAAGGUGAGGAAAGGUGGCCUGUUUCUCAGAAUCCCAGACCACAAGCUCCUGGUUAUGUGAGCAUGCCAGGUAGACCCAGGAAAAAUGACAGGAGGAGGGAAGAGGGAGAAGCACCAAAAGGAAAGAAGAUGUCAAGACAUGGGAUUAAAAUUACUUAUAGUAUGUGUGGGAAUAAAGGCCACAAUAAGUCAGGUUGCCACAAAAAUCCAGAAAAGGCAAGAAAAAAAAAUGCCUUUCUGAGAAAAACAGGGAGGAAAAUGAAGGCCUCUGAGGUAUAUAAUUGUGUAUUUCUUCUAUUUCAUAUACUAGUGGAUUUCUUCUGUUUCAUGUAA
This 597-nucleotide ribosomal RNA is filed under the name Triticum aestivum (bread wheat). RNAcentral's name for it is "partial small subunit ribosomal RNA". The record is from RNAcentral. Lineage: Eukaryota; Viridiplantae; Streptophyta; Magnoliopsida; Poales; Poaceae.